GCUACGGUAGUUUAAACAAAACAUUAGCUUGUGAUACUAAAAACGAAACUAUUACCCUCCCGAAGCU
This 67-nucleotide transfer RNA is filed under the name Calumma cucullatum. RNAcentral describes it as "tRNA-His". Lineage: Eukaryota; Metazoa; Chordata; Lepidosauria; Squamata; Chamaeleonidae. The record is from RNAcentral.